UUGUAAAUUAAUCAUUUUAAACAUUUUGGCAGAUCCAAAAUGAAUGUUUUGUUUAUCUCUGUGGAAGAUAUCUGACGUUUGGUUCCCACUUCUAACAAGGCUUGGGAGCUAAUAGUAAAACAACAUUAGUAUCAUGUGUCUGAGUCUCACUCCACUCAAUCAUAUAAUAUGCAGGUUGUGCAACAAACUGGCCACCACUUGUUGUGAAGUGAAUGCAAUGGAACUGGGGGGGAGAAUGAGACAUCUAGUAGCUGAAUGUCAUCAAUAGCACCUUUAAAUUAGUUACUGCAAUACACCAAUA
Sebastes umbrosus (honeycomb rockfish) is the source of this 301-nucleotide long non-coding RNA. RefSeq lists it as uncharacterized. The transcript is spliced from 2 exons. The record is from RefSeq and is a predicted model, not a curated record. NCBI's taxonomy places the organism in Eukaryota, Metazoa, Chordata, Actinopteri, Perciformes, Sebastidae.